GUACAUUUUGACAUUAAAAAAAAAAAAAAAGUUAUAGGGCUUUUAAGAAAGCCUAAUGAAUAAAAAAUAUGCUUACAGCAUUUAGAUAUUGGGCAGAGUCAGUUUGGGCCUGCAGCCCUUGCCCUCUGAAGGGUAUUUUCCCACUGCCAUUAGGAUCACAGGCAGUAACUCUCUCUUGCUUCUGACUCUUUAUUCAUUCCUUCAGAGGAUGCUAGCUAAAUAGCAGAUAAGUAAAUACGUAAUCAAUGAGACAUUUAUUGAAUGUUAAUGCUUUGUUUAUUAGGGCUUAGAAAUUUAAAUAGGUCCCAUUAAGAUGUAGAGUGCACAGCAGGAAAACUUCUCAAUGUCACAGACCCCAAUCACAGAAUAAUGGUGAGGUGGGGCUUUCCAAAUGGGAACUGCUUUGUGGCUAAGGUGUGGGGCUUCUUCUGUUUGCUGCCUCUCACCCUGCAUCAGCAGGCUGCACACAAGGACAUCUCCACUGCAGGACGAGCCAUGCAGGGCUUCCCGCAGCUUCCCUGACCCGAGCUGACUGGUCCUCUUGAGUCUGAGCUCAGGGAAGCCAUGCAAGCACAGUGGAAUUCCUGUGCUAGCAACCUGAAACAGAGCUUCUGAGCUCAUGCCUGGCUGUUGCAGCUGGAUUAUAUCUGGGCUCAGCUGGCUCACCUCCAGUUUGGCUGUCCUUCCCUGUGUUGAGGUAGACCCUAUUUAGUUUCUUCAGUGAAGACUGAGAACAUCAGUCACUAAUGUAACAGCUGGAAUGUGCAGAAGCAUUAUCACAAUAGGAAUUGCAGCCACUGUCAGAAUUUCUGGUGGAGAUGUCUGCAAGGAGGGGUGGAAAUCCCAUCAUUGGAGCCACAUGAAACCGCACAAGCAAAAUAUGGAGGCCCUCAUCGCUCAGGCCUGCAUAAGGGCCCACUGAGCUCACAGUGUGCAGGAGAGAGCCUCAGCACGGCCUGAUGCCAACGAGCAAACUGUCACCUGAGAAGGGCCCACAGCUCUCCUCAGGAGCCGACUCCAUCCCCACACAGGGCUGGAGGCCACGUUCUUUGCUGCACACUGUGAGCUCAGUGGGCCCUUAUGCAGGCCUGAGCGAUGAGGGCCAGGCUAAGCAGGCCCUGAUGAGCAAGUGCAGGCCCUGGUGUACGAGGUGCAGGCUGCCUGAGGUGCUCAGCAUGGACAGGAUACAGCUGGCUCUGCCGCCUGUGUGGCAUAGAGGUGUGAGGGCCAGGAGCUGGGCCUGCAGCUCGGCGUGCUGCUGGCUGCUCACUGGCAUGGCUGGGGUUGUUACCUUGCGGCUAAUUACAGUGCUUUCACCAGCCCUGCAAACACUGCACGUUUUUAGCACUUGCUGAAAAGUUUAAGAUGUGUCCUGGGUGUGUGUUUGCAGUAGACGCUACGUUUUACGAGCAUUUUUUUCCUUCCUGUAACAGUAGUAACUCUACCUUUACUCUGGCCUCGUUUUUCUAGUCAAGUCUGGUCCAUCCCAGUCUAACUGGGCCCUUCACAGGGCCUAUGUGCCUGCAGAAAGCAUUAAAGGCAAAAGGAUAUUUUUAACGGCAAGGGUAAUUAACCCCUCGCCCAGCUUACCAGAAGAUGAUGGAGUCUCUUUUUAAAGACGGUAUCUUUCCAAAUGAUGCACAUUUCUUUAUGGGUCUGUAGGAUGGGGGUGAGGAAUAGAGAAUGGCUAUGGGCUGUGAUCCAGGUGCUUUGUCCUCCUCUUUUCCAGAAAGACACCGCUUUGGGGUCUGCCCUCUCUCUUGUGUUACGCUGCAUCAAGGCAACUGCCUGGAAUAACUAUGUGAGCAGCACUGAGCAAUGUUCUUCUCCUGUGUAUUUUGGCAGCCAGGAGGAGAAUAGAUUUGCUAUCAAUAUAUAUGACACGAAAAUUGCAGGCAAUGGGAUCUAACCCUUCAGGAAGCCCUGUCUGAAAGCAGGGGCACAUACCCACUGCAUUAUUUAUCCUCUCACGUGGUGAUUACAUAAAUUGCCUCAGCAAUUUCACUGGAAAAGGUUCCUUGAACCUCUUUACUUCCCACCCUGAAAAAAAUGUGUUUUAUGCAAUGGACACAGAUGGCUCCAGAAGGGAUGUAUGCAGGGAGGGCAGGGAGCCUCGGAUGCUGCAUUAAUACCAACUUCUCUCUGCCUUUGCAGCUCACCUUUAGCAGGGAUAAGAGCAAAUUCCCCGGCAGAUCGAGCACCAUCAAGCACCUGACAAGUCUUAUGAACACUUUCAAGAGCCAGGCUUGAGAGCUCGAGCACUUACUCAUUUAUUGCUUUGAUAUUAAAAACAGAGUCACAGAUAUUAAAACAGAGAGACUCUGAAUACAGGGGAGAUAUGAUCUGUUCUGUAUACGGAAAUUGCUCAGCUUCAUGUUCUACAUGGCGCUUCAGAUUACAAAAAAGACCUACAGAGUCCCAUUUGUCAGGGAGCUUUUCUAAGGGACCAAAAGCAGAACAUGAGCAAUAGAAAAGCUUCCAGGUUUCCCAGUUCCAUCUUGCAACUCUUGCAAAAAUCAGCCCCACACCUAAAGUUUGAGGUCCCCAAUACUCUUCUCUGCUAUGAGACACCUGAUUUUCUUCAGCCCUGCAGUCAAAACAGCCAUCUGCAAAUCUCACCCUGCAAUUGCUGGAGUUCCUCACCAGAGGGAUACUUCUAAACUGAAAAGUGUAAAUCCAUUGUGAUGGUUGGACACACACACGGACUACAGUGAUGAUACCUUUGUACAAAGCACUCCUUUAAUGGAAACAGUAUACAGUGAUGCUAAGCACAUAACUUUGCACAGUAAGCUUUUGCCAGUGUAACUUAAUCCAAAAAUCCAACUGUUCCCCAAGAGGAACAAGCUGCAUUGCCAGUGGCAUUGUUUUGCUGGUAACUGUGCAUCUGCACUGGAGCAUUUUGCAGGCAGUUCCCCCCCAUCCAUGCAGCCAGAAUGGCUCCCUGGCCACAGGAAGGAAUGAGGAGACAGCAUUGGGCAGCUGUGCUCAGCCCAGUCUGCAGCAGCAAAGCAGUACUAUACGUCUGCUGGUACAAAUCAGUGCAACAUAAAAAGAUCCUGAAAACCACAUUUUCACAAAUCCAAUGGAUGAAAACACAAAGGAAGUAUGGAGGGACAAGGAACAUACAGUAUUGAGGAAGUAAAGGCAUCACUUCCCACAGCCCAUCCACAGCUGUUUUCAUCUUCCCAGAGCGAGCUCUAUUCCACACCUGCAUCUGUCCCAAGAGCAAUUGGAGACUGUUCCUUUAAAAAAACAAAAACAAAAACAAAAAACCCCAAACAAAUAAUAAUUAAAAAAAAAAACACCAAAAGAAACCCAAACAACAGUGGAGGUCACUAAUUUGGGAACUCAUUGGCGCCAGCUGACUGCAAGGAGCCAGAGCUACUAAAUAGGUGUGAGCACUGGUGGAGAAGAUGUUAGAGAGUAGUAGUGCUGUUUGGUAAUCUGAUGUGUGAAUUAAAAAGAACACAGACUGAGCUGGAGAAGUCCACCAGUGGGAAGAAGCUGCAUGAAGAGCCUUAGGAGAGUCAGCCUAGGAAGAUAAUGCUGGACUGGAGAGAGACAUCCCUAUUUCCACCAGAAGCCUGGACCAGCACUCAGAGUAAAGAAAGGACUUGGAGCGCUGUGCUAUGCUGAGAGACCACACUGAAGAAACAGCUUGGGCUCACCUCGCUGCUGCAUGCUGGGAAGGAGCCGGCAGCCCUGCUGAGUUCACGUGGCGGUCCCUGGGCUCAAGGACUUGGCACAGAGAGUUGAAAGAAGUGCUGCACAGUGACAUCCGCUCUCCUUCCCUGCUCAACAGAACCUGUUGCACUGAACCUGGUCACGCUGGAGAUGGUGGAAAGGCUUAAGUUCAAAUUCACAGACCUAAAA
This is a non-coding RNA of Meleagris gallopavo (turkey), 3873 nucleotides long. The record is from RefSeq and is a predicted model, not a curated record. NCBI's taxonomy places the organism in Eukaryota, Metazoa, Chordata, Aves, Galliformes, Phasianidae.